ACCCCCCGGCAAUGGGCAAGGAGACACCUGAUUGGUGGUGUUGCUCUUAUAUCAGUCAGGGGCAAAGCAGAUGUACAGUCCUUACAUCCUAGCUUGAUGCCUGUGUUGGUGGCCAGAGCUGUUUCA
RNAcentral lists this small nucleolar RNA (126 nucleotides) under Myotis lucifugus (little brown bat). RNAcentral describes it as "Small nucleolar RNA SNORA48". It matches the Rfam family "Small nucleolar RNA SNORA48". From Rfam's summary of the family: The snoRNA ACA 48 has been identified to guide pseudouridylation of the residue U3797 in the 28S rRNA subunit. Its host gene EIF4A1 (eukaryotic translation initiation factor 4A1) is shared with U67 and snoRNA mgU6-77 Lineage: Eukaryota; Metazoa; Chordata; Mammalia; Chiroptera; Vespertilionidae. The record is from Rfam by way of RNAcentral.